AUCCUGGACGGACCACCGGUGGCGAAAGCGCCUCAGGAGGACGGAUCCGACAGUGAGGGACGAAAGCUAGGGUCUCGAACCGGAUUAGAUACCCGGGUAGUCCUAGCUGUAAACGAUGCCCGCUAGGUGUGGCGCAGGCUACGAGCCUGCGCUGUGCCGUAGGGAAGCCGAGAAGCGGGCCGCCUGGGAAGUACGUCUGCAAGGAUGAAACUUAAAGGAAUUGGCGGGGGAGCACUACAACCGGAGGAGCCUGCGGUUUAAUUGGACUCAACGCCGGACAUCUCACCAGCUCCGACAGUAGUAAUGACGGUCAGGUUGAUGACCUUACCCGACGCUACUGAGAGGAGGUGCAUGGCCGCCGUCAGCUCGUACCGUGAGGCGUCCUGUUAAGUCAGGCAACGAGCGAGACCCGCACUCCUAAUUGCCAGCAGUACCCUUUGGGUAGCUGGGUACAUUAGGUGGACUGCCGCUGCCAAAGCGGAGGAAGGAACGGGCAACGGUAGGUCAGUAUGCCCCGAAUGAGCUGGGCAACACGCGGGCUACAAUGGUCGAGACAAUGGGAUGCAACUCCGAGAGGAGGCGCUAAUCUCCUAAACUCGAUCGUAGUUCGGAUUGAGGGCUGAAACUCGCCCUCAUGAAGCUGGAUUCGGUAGUAAUCGCGUGUCAGAAGCGCGCGGUGAAUACGUCCCUGCUCCUUGCACACACCCGCCCGUCAAAGCACCCGAGUGGGGUUCGGAUGAGGCCGGCAUG
This 750-nucleotide ribosomal RNA is filed under the name Halobacterium sp. LpM14. Its description in RNAcentral is "bacterial SSU rRNA". It matches the Rfam family "Archaeal small subunit ribosomal RNA", at positions 645 to 1390 of the family's 1478-position model. Lineage: Archaea; Methanobacteriati; Methanobacteriota; Halobacteria; Halobacteriales; Halobacteriaceae. The record is from RNAcentral.